This 4945-nucleotide long non-coding RNA is filed under the name Malus domestica (apple). RNAcentral's name for it is "long non-coding RNA (MDOM_LNC003142)". The record is from RNAcentral. Lineage: Eukaryota; Viridiplantae; Streptophyta; Magnoliopsida; Rosales; Rosaceae.
UAAGACAAUCUCGCAUUGCUCACUAGCUUGCUUGGAAAGGGUAAGGAAAAAUGUUUCAGGCAUAAGGGUAGACAUAUCUGGUGAUGAGAAAUAAAAGGCUCAACAUACACGGCUCAAAUUGGCAAUCUAAUGAUAUCAUUUUUCUUUGGGAAACAUGGUUAUUUAGGCCAUAGUGGUAAACCUAAUGCCUUUAUCAUUUCCAAGUUCAUGCAAUCAAUGACAAACAUUUCGAAAGAUCGUUACGCAAGUUCUAGAGAUGUAUCUCACAUAAGUUCAUCACACAUGAAAGAAUAGGAGUGUAUGCAAAAAUGCACACACUUUCAAUAGGCUCAAAAACUCACAUAGGAUGUAUAUGGUCACUAAAUUCACAUAUGAAGCUUUAAGUCAUGUUUUAGUUUCACAUCAACAAGGCUAUGUGCAUUUGGUUUUUCAAAGAUGAUCAAACAUGUACAAAACUAACAAGAGAAUUAGGAAUUUCACAAAACACAUGUUAACUAAGUUCUUGAUGAUCAUGGUUCAAAUUUGAUCCAAUUAUAUCAUUGGGUCGGGAAACUAACAAAAAUCUAAUUCAUAACAAUAAGGGAAACAAGACAAUAUUUUUGGAUUUUUUAAAUUUUCCGAUUUUUUUAAAUUUUUUUUUUUUUUUUAAAGAAAACAAAACUAAUUAAGAAAACAAAAAGCAACAACACAGAAACAAAUGAAACCAAUUNAAUUCCCUGACACCCAAAAGGGUCUGCUUUCCAGUGUGAGAGGGUAAACUAAUUGUUCUCUAGUGCAAGAGGGUAAACCAAUUCCCUGACACCUAUAUGGGUAAGCUCUCCAGUGCGAGAGGGUAAACUAAUUGCUCUCCAGUGCGAUAGGGUAAACUAAUUCCCUGACACCCAUCUAGGUAAGCUCUUCAGUACGAGAACGCUACAUAACUCAAAAGAUCGAAUGCUUGAAGACCAACUAAGCAACAAAUGGUCAUUGGGCAGCAACUACUUUGCACCCAAUAGUUUUGCUCAUCCGACACUUCAUCUUCAGUAGCUCCGAUCUUGGCUGCUUUAUAUACGGCAGCUGAGAAAUCAAACUUAAGCAAUUUCCUCAUUUUUAGCAAGCAACCCAGAUAUGGAAGCCCAAAUACGACGCUUCUUCGGCCCAUACUGAGUCAGUCCUUGGCUUUAGUCAAGCCAAGCAGCACAAGAAAUGGCCCCUGCCACACCACCUCCUUGGCCCAUGCCAAGCCAACUCCUGGCCCUCGCCAAUCAACGUGCCGCACCACCCCAACGGCUGCCCCGUGGCAGCACCACCCAAGAAGAAGACAAGGAGAAUUAAGUUUUUCUUACAUCGGUACGGCGCAAAGAAGAUAAAGAAAUCAACGGAAGACGGUUCUUUGCACGGGCAAGCAAAGAAAAGUGCUAGGGGGAACAAAUAUCUUUUAGUUUUCUCUCUUUCUUGUAGGGAUAAAAAUAAUUGCCCUCCGAAGUUGAUUUAAUCCCCUACUUAAGGUAGGCUUAAAUAGGCUUUGGAGGUGAUUUAUUUCCCUUUCCUAGAAGAAUCUAAUUCCAAGUCCAAGUGAGAAUCUGCAUCAAAGCUGGAGAUCUCUACGCAUGUUGCCAUUUCCUAUGAGCAGCUCAGCAGGUGUGGGGAUUCGUGGAGCCAAAAAUAAUCAAGAAAAAUAUGGAGGCGACAUGUGAAUCUAGGGUGAAAAAGACAAAAUUACCCUCAAGGAAUACUGGAACUCCUACAAGCGAAUAGUGGACAAUCAUGACUCAAUCAAGGUCAAAAAUGCUCAAAAUAGGUAAUUAUUCAAAACCUAUUUCAUCCAUCCUCAUCAAAUCUUCUCCACAAGGCAACCUCAAAUCAUUCAUUUCAAAUUAUAUUAAUUAGCUAAUUAAUUGAUUUAUUAGCUAAUUGAUUGAAAUUAACACAAAAAAUACCACAUAUGUGAUGCGAGAAUUACUUAACACACAAAUUAAACCCUCUUUUUGACAAUUGUAGUAUAGAUGUAAGUAGGGUAUCGUUCUAGGCCGGGGAUUAGGAGGGAUUGCUAAUCUAUUCUAAAUUAAUUUAAAAAUAUUAAACAAGACUCAAGGACACAAAACUAGGCUAAAAACUCUAAUAACUCGAAACACACUUAGGAUGACUCAAAAUAAUGAAAACAAUCAAAUUAGACACUAGGAACUGCAAUGGACGGAAAUUGAAUUAAAAGACUAACAACAAUGAAAACUAACUAGAUAAUAUAAUUUAAUAAUGGGGGGUUUGGUUUUGACGAGAAGUAAAUUAAACUUAAAUAAAUUACAGAAUUGACAAAAACAUGAAAUUAAGGUGAAAUGAUAGGUGACGGACUAGCUAGAGGGUUCUUCUCCACACAUGACACAUAUGCAACCUAAAUUGAUUUUCAGUUGUUCUUUCAAUAAAUUGUAAAUCUCAAUACUUCAGAUUAACCGUGAACAACACUUUUUUAAUCUUCAAGUUUUCCUUAAGUUAUUGAAUUGGACGGAAAAACGCAUACAACAAUUCAAAACAUUCUUCAAAAGUCCCCUACGUGAAAAGCACAAUAGAGAUACAAUCAAAGAUCAUUAAACUUUGUGAAAACUAUAAGCAUUGACGAGGCAUUCGUAACUAUGAAAAGCAUGAUACUCUUGCCAAGAAUUCACUUAACACGAUUGUGACUAGCAACCUUCACUACUUGUGAAUAUAAGUUCAUAACGAUUAGGUGAAAUUCACUUAUAUUCUAGCAUCAAAUUCAUGCAUGUAAAUUAAGUAUGCAUUCUUAAUCGACAUACAAAAAAUAAGUUAUCAAUCAAGCAGUUAAGCAAAUUAAAUCACAACUCAGAAAUCACAACUGAAGGUAAUCAAUUCAUAUUACAAAUAUAUACAUGGCUUUGAAUUAACCUCUAGCCAAAAUAAAAUUAGUUACACAUUAUUAUCAAAUUAAACCAAAAGUUAAACAUGAAGUUGAGAAGAUAAAACCAAGAAAAUAGAGUGAAGCUUUGCUCUCUAUGCCCUGCUUGUUUCUGCUUCUGUGCCGUGGCCUGUUGACCUGCGCCUCUCUCCUCCCCUGCUGCUCUGUCCGCACAGUUUUCUGUGCUGCCCGUGCCUUCUCGGUUUUCUGCUGCCGCAAGGCAGCUGUCUCUUCGUCCAGCCCUCUCUCCCCCGCGUCAAUCUCUCCCCCCUAUUUUUCUCUGCGCCUGCCUUCUUAUUUCCUUCGUUUCUGCUUUUUUUCUUUUUUUUUUUAUUAAAGCUGCAAGGGCAGCUAAGCUGCCUCCUGAUCCUCUCUGCGCCUUGCGUCCCUGCUCAUUCCCCACGUCUAUUCCUUUUCUGCUGUCUGUCAGUCCCCCUGCUCUCCCUCCUUCCGCUUUUUCUCUCUGGCAGCCUUGCUGCCUUCCUGCCCGUUUCUGUCUCCUUUUUCCUGCUUUUCCUUUGCCGUGACUUUUAUAUCUCCCACAUGCCUUUAGCUUUUCUUUCCCUUAAGUCUUCCUUUCUUCUUCUUUUAUUCAAUUUCUUGAUAGUGUGCACUCCACUUCUCUCUUUCUCCUCACUGAUAUCCUCUCUUUUUGCCUAUUUUAUUCCUUCUUUUCCCCCCAAGGCACGCUGCAAAGCAGCUUGCUGCUUAUUAUUUUUCUUUCUAGUGGAAGAUGCUGAGCUGCCAAUUCCUCUAUCAUUUUGCUCCUAGAAACACAAUAUAGCAAAAGUAUCACAAAUCCUAUAAUACGUAAAAACAAGGUAAAUAGCUCAAAAAUAUAAGGAACUAACUAAGAAAAGACGAGUGAAUUUGAAGUAAAAAUAUAUAUAAAUAUGAUCCGAUCAAAUACCCCCACACUUAGCUUUUGCUAGUCCUCGAGCAAAACAAAGAGAACAUGAAAAGUAAUAACAUGAAAAACAUUAGUUUCCCCCUAUGUGACUCUCAUAGAAUUUCAUUCGAGAAAACAAAUCAUCAAGAACCAUAGCUAGCACCAAACAAACUAAUCCAAGUUCAUCUUCCUUAUUCAAAUAUUAGCAGUAAUCUUUGAAUCAUCCUUGAAGUGUAGUGUGUGAGAUAGCCAUGCUAAUACAAUUUCAAAUUUUUAUUUUUAAAAUCAUCAUAUGCAAACUAGCAACCUUCUCACAGGAUAUGCCCUCAAUCACACAUGUGUUUAGUUUUAAUGUGUUUCGCUCAAAGAAUCAAAUGUGAAAUUUCUACCAUAAACUUGCAUAAAGAUCACUUCUCCACAGUCAUAAUUGCAAAACUUAAAUCAAGAGGACUUUUAUUGGAUGUAAUGAGGCUUAGGGAUAGGGUUAUUGAAACGAAAGAAUAGGAAAACCCAAAUUCCAAGCUACAUUGCAAGCAAUUCUUUUCUUUAGAUUUAUAAGAACUCAAGCUCUCCAACGAUUCUUCUAGCACCUCCAACCACACCCUUAAACUGAAACUUGAACAACUUUUUAUUUUCUUUGUGUACAAUCUUUCUUUUUUUUUUUUUUUUUUUUUUUCACAAAACUAAAUACAAACAUGAAAUACCCCCACACUUAUUCUUUUGCCAAACACCUUCAAAAUACUUCACAAAUGUUUCUUAUAAGACAAUCUCGCAUUGCUCACUAGCUUGCUUGGAAAGGGUAAGGAAAAAUGUUUCAGGCAUAAGGGUAGACAUAUCUGGUGAUGAGAAAUAAAAGGCUCAACAUACACGGCUCAAAUUGGCAAUCUAAUGAUAUCAUUUUUCUUUGGGAAACAUGGUUAUUUAGGCCAUAGUGGUAAACCUAAUGCCUUUAUCAUUUCCAAGUUCAUGCAAUCAAUGACAAACAUUUCGAAAGAUCGUUACGCAAGUUCUAGAGAUGUAUCUCACAUAAGUUCAUCACACAUGAAAGAAUAGGAGUGUAUGAAAAAUGCACACACUUUCAAUAGGCUCAAAAACUCACAUAGGAUGUAUAUGGUCACUAAAUUCACAUAUGAAGCUUUAAGUCAUGUUUUAGUUUCACAUCAACAAGG